RNAcentral lists this unclassified non-coding RNA (225 nucleotides) under plant metagenome. RNAcentral's name for it is "partial contains small subunit ribosomal RNA, internal transcribed spacer 1, and 5.8S ribosomal RNA". The record is from RNAcentral.
UCUCCGUUGGUGAACCAGCGGAGGGAUCAUUACAGGACUCGCAAGACUCCUUCAACCCUGUGAACUUAACUAUAAGCACGUUGCUUCGGCGGGUGUCUCGGAGGGGGUUCUCCCUCCCCGAGACGCUAAACCCGCCGGCAGCCUACUAUACUCUGUCUCUUUGCGUUGGCAUCUCGAGUACAAUCAAAUAAGUUAAAACUUUCAACAACGGAUCUCUUGGUUCUG